UGAGGAAUAUUGGCCAAUGGGCGCAGGCCUGAACCAGCCAAGUCGCGUGAGGGAGGACGGUCCUACGGAUUGUAAACCUCUUUUGUCGGGGAGUAACGUGCGGGACGCGUCCCGUAUUGAGAGUACCCGAAGAAAAAGCAUCGGCUAACUCCGUGCCAGCAGCCGCGGUAAUACGGAGGAUGCGAGCGUUAUCCGGAUUCAUUGGGUUUAAAGGUGCGUAGGUGGCCGAUUAAGUCAGCGGUGAAAGUCAGUGGCUCAACCAUUGAACUGCCGUUGAAACUGGUUGGCUUGAGUACGUACGGGGCAGGCGGAAUGCGUGGUGUAGCGGUGAAAUGCAUAGAUAUCACGCAGAACCCCGAUCGCGAAGGCAGCCUGCCAGGCCGUGACUGACACUGAUGCACG
RNAcentral lists this ribosomal RNA (402 nucleotides) under uncultured Parabacteroides sp. RNAcentral's name for it is "bacterial SSU rRNA". It matches the Rfam family "Bacterial small subunit ribosomal RNA", at positions 355 to 755 of the family's 1533-position model. Lineage: Bacteria; Pseudomonadati; Bacteroidota; Bacteroidia; Bacteroidales; Tannerellaceae. The record is from RNAcentral.